GCCGAACGAGCCGAUACGGCCCGAAACGGGCGGGAGCAAACUCGUAAUGAGCAGGUCAGCGGUUCGAGUCCGCUCGUCGGCU
Molecule: transfer RNA, 82 nt
Filed under: Rubrobacter xylanophilus DSM 9941
Lineage: Bacteria; Bacillati; Actinomycetota; Rubrobacteria; Rubrobacterales; Rubrobacteraceae
Description: tRNA-Und (NNN) (tRNA-Und-NNN-2-1)
Source: RNAcentral